CGCCAGACUCCUACGGGAGGCAGCAGUGGGGAAUAUUGCACAAUGGGGGAAACCCUGAUGCAGCGACGCCGCGUGAGUGAAGAAGUAUUUCGGUACGUAAAGCUCUAUCAGCAGGGAAGAAAAAAAGUCCUUUGGACUUUGGACGGUACCUGACCAAGAAGCCCCGGCUAACUACGUGCCAGCAGCCGCGGUAAUACGUAGGGGGCAAGCGUUAUCCGGAUUUACUGGGUGUAAAGGGAGCGUAGACGGUUAUGUAAGUCUGGAGUGGAAGCCCGGGGCCCAACCCCGGGACUGCUUUGGAAACUGUGUAACUGGAGUACAGGAGGGGCAGGCGGAAUUCCUGGUGUAGCGGUGAAAUGCGUAGAUAUCAGGAGGAACACCGGCGGCGAAGGCGGCCUGCUGGACUGAAACUGACGUUGAGGCUCGAAAGCGUGGGGAGCAAACAGGAUUAGAUACCCCUGUAUAG
This 466-nucleotide ribosomal RNA is filed under the name uncultured bacterium. RNAcentral's name for it is "bacterial SSU rRNA". It matches the Rfam family "Bacterial small subunit ribosomal RNA", at positions 329 to 793 of the family's 1533-position model. The record is from RNAcentral.